RNAcentral lists this ribosomal RNA (231 nucleotides) under uncultured bacterium. Its description in RNAcentral is "partial 16S ribosomal RNA". It matches the Rfam family "Bacterial small subunit ribosomal RNA", at positions 99 to 334 of the family's 1533-position model. The record is from RNAcentral.
CGGACGGGUGAGUAAUGUCUGGGAAACUGCCCGAUGGAGGGGGAUAACUACUGGAAACGGUAGCUAAUACCGCAUAACGUCGCAAGACCAAAGAGGGGACCUUCGGGCCUCUUGCCAUCAGAUGAACCCAUAUGGGAUUAGCUAGUAGGUAAGGUAACGGCUUACCUAGGCGACGAUCCCUAGCUGGUCUGAGAGGAUGAUCAGCCACACUGGGACUGAGACACGGCCCAG